Molecule: small nucleolar RNA, 132 nt
Filed under: Octodon degus (degu)
Lineage: Eukaryota; Metazoa; Chordata; Mammalia; Rodentia; Octodontidae
Source: RNAcentral
AACCCCCUGGCAGUAUGGAGAGUGGCUGACAUUCUGCCAGUUUAGAAAACAGGGAAAGUGUGUUAAGCAAGUCACCCACUGUGUUCUCAGAUUGCCAGGAAGCUGCUGCUUGGGAGAUACCCUAUGUCAACC